CGUUAUAUUUUACCUCGGUUGGAGAGGCGAGUAGGGUAACUCCCGAGGUAUAACUUUUAGAGUUCACUUCAUGCCAAACCACCACGUGAGGGUGAACUCAGCCAACGCCAAGGAACUGCUAUGUUUUCAAAACGAAAACAUGAUUUAUGCGUACAUAACUUUUUUACCGCCUUGGCGGACUCGAUUGGGAUAGCUCUCGAUCAAGGUAUCCCUGAU
This 216-nucleotide long non-coding RNA is filed under the name Theobroma cacao (cacao). Its description in RNAcentral is "long non-coding RNA (TCAC_LNC001935)". The record is from RNAcentral. Lineage: Eukaryota; Viridiplantae; Streptophyta; Magnoliopsida; Malvales; Malvaceae.